AUCCAUCUGACGUGUCCCAAAUAGGACGAAACGUGUGUAAAACUGUAU
RNAcentral lists this non-coding RNA (48 nucleotides) under Schistosoma mansoni. Lineage: Eukaryota; Metazoa; Platyhelminthes; Trematoda; Strigeidida; Schistosomatidae. The record is from RNAcentral.